Molecule: ribosomal RNA, 427 nt
Filed under: uncultured eukaryote
Lineage: Eukaryota
Description: bacterial SSU rRNA
Rfam family: Eukaryotic small subunit ribosomal RNA
Source: RNAcentral
CAAUAGCGUAUAUUAAAGUUGUUGCAGUUAAAAAGCUCGUAGUUGGACUUCUGAUGUGGAGGGACGGUCCGCCUCACGGUGAGCACUGAUUCUUCACGUCUUCCUCUCGUAGUCUUUUGGCGCACUUAGUUGGGUGCCUUUAGAAUAUGGGACCUUUACUUUGAAAAAUUAGAGUGUUCAAAGCAGGCAAUCGCUUGAAUACUUUAGCAUGGAAUAAUAGAAUAGGACUUUGGUUCUAUUUUGUUGGUUUCUAGGACCGAAGUAAUGAUUAAUAGGGACAGUUGGGGGCAUUAGUAUUUAAUUGUCAGAGGUGAAAUUCAUUGAUUAAUUAAAGACUAACUAUGCGAAGACAUUGUCCAACGGAAGUGUUUUCUUAUUAAUUACAAGAACGAAAGUUAAGGGGUAGUCAAAGAAUGAUCAGAUACCA